UGAUAUCCGGUCGUGUUGUGGCGUGCAUGAAGUUGCUCUCUGACGUUUAUGACGUCACAUUAUUUACGGUAAAAAGACAAACAGACCGCUGCUGUCCUCCAACAUGUCGGGGGCGACGGUUCAGUAAAUAUUAAAAGAAACCUCCUUCCCACCAGUUGAGACUAAACCUUGUAUGUAAUCAACAACAACAACAACAACAACAACAACAACAACAACAACAACACCGUAUAUGAGCCGUGAACCGAAUGGAAGAGGAGCAAACUAAUAAAGAGAGGGCCAGGAUGCACAAUGGGCAAGAUGAUGAUUGGAAAUGGGUGUUACUUAUUAGCAAUAUGUUGGCUUUUUGCUAAUUAGUUUGAUAUUUUAUUAGAAAGUUUGUGUUUUUGAUCGAAUUUUAUUUGAAUUUUGAAGGAACUGCAUUGAAAAAAUCAUUCAGAAUCAAAGAAAUUGAAGUAUUUAAGGCUCUUUUUAUGGAAUAACUUUCGAAAUUGGUAUUUAUUUAAUCAAUAUUCUAUUGAAUAUUGUAUAUUUAAAUAACAAUAUAUUUAAUAAUAUUUAAUCAAUAUUCAACCAUAGAGGUACGAGGUGUUCUGACCUGGUUGUAGGUCCCGUGGACUUCACAGCUGACAACCAGCUGCAGGUAUUGAAGAGCGCCCCCCUCAACCCCAUGGCCAUCUGUGAGUACUGCACCCAUAGUAGAGAAUAGUGACAUUAAAUGAUACAAAACAACAGAGCUUAAAGUUCAGAUGAUUACACGACUCAUAAAAGCAGUAAUGUGUUACUAUUGUACAUACUACAUGUGUAAACAUGAGACAUAGCCAGAGCUUCCAGUUUAAAUUAUUCUUUAGUUUACUCAGUAAAAAGCUGCUUUUCAGCCUGGUGGUAAGAUGACUAUGUUAUAGUUCUAAAGCUUUUGUUGUUGUUGUUGUUGUUGUUGUUGUUGUUGUGCCUUCCCGUUCCACCGUAGAGUUUAUAAUUAUGCUGCUUUGUACAUGGUUUGUAUUGUUAUUACAACAUAUCACAGAAUACAAUCCAAAAAGUUGGUGAGUUCCAAAAAAAAGAAACUUAAUUGGUGAAUUAGAUUUUUUUUUUAAGUACAAGACAAAGAAGAUAUAGGUUUUUAGUUGCCGUCCUUAUUUUGCUGUUAUUUUGGGAAACAAGGCCAUUCCAUAUAAAAUAGACACAGUGAAGAUGAAGGUCCAUCCAACUAUGAUGAAGCCACAAUUAAGACUUUCCCAAACUGCUUCCUGCUCCUGGAAUCAACGAAGCUUCCCCUGAACAUGAAGCAAUGUCCCUUCUGCACCAGAAGAUGUCACCAUUAAAUAACAUAAUUCAACUUUGAAUCUGCAGCCACCAGAUGGUCCAAAUGGGAUUCAUAAGUGCAGCAGAGUGAAACUACCACAAACCGCCAUGUUUCUGUUUCAGUAAGAAUCAGAAGAACGUUUCUGUUCCUCUUUCCUGUUUAUUCACCUCCAUCUUCCAACACAGCCUGUGAGGAGGAAGCACCCUGACGUGUGGAGGACAGCUACACUUCACUGUGUUUCAUAUGUGUCCUGCCUCUCUGCUCCCAGCCGUUAAGAGGCCAUGUUGAUCAGUGGCUGUCCAGGCCUUUCAGAGACACUGACAAUGAUGAUGUCACUGACUCUACUGCUGACCACCCUGGGGCUCCUUGUUCAGGAUUCAUCAGGAGAAAUCCUCCUGACUCAGUCUCCUGGAUCUCAGUCUGUUGUUCCAGGACAGACUGUCUCCAUCAGAUGUAGAACCAGUUCAAGUGUUGGUAACUGGCUUCACUGGUA
Long non-coding RNA from Cyclopterus lumpus (lumpfish), 1796 nucleotides. RefSeq lists it as uncharacterized. The transcript has 3 exons. NCBI's taxonomy places the organism in Eukaryota, Metazoa, Chordata, Actinopteri, Perciformes, Cyclopteridae. The record is from RefSeq and is a predicted model, not a curated record.